CGCGUAGGCGGUCUGCUAAGCGUGUGGUGAAAGCUCGGGCUCAACCCCGAGUCUGCCAUGCGAACUGGUGGACUUGAGCACUGUAGAGGCAGGUGGAAUUCCGGGUGUAGCGGUGGAAUGCGUAGAGAUCCGGAAGAACACCAGUGGCGAAGGCGGCCUGCUGGGCAGUUGCUGACGCUGAGGCGCGCAGCGUGGGAGCAAAC
This 203-nucleotide ribosomal RNA is filed under the name uncultured bacterium. Its description in RNAcentral is "partial 16S ribosomal RNA". It matches the Rfam family "Bacterial small subunit ribosomal RNA", at positions 568 to 773 of the family's 1533-position model. The record is from RNAcentral.